CAACUUUCGAUGGUAGGAUAGUGG
RNAcentral lists this non-coding RNA (24 nucleotides) under Arabidopsis thaliana (thale cress). The record is from RNAcentral. Lineage: Eukaryota; Viridiplantae; Streptophyta; Magnoliopsida; Brassicales; Brassicaceae. RNAcentral also lists the same sequence under 1 other name.